GUGGGUACAGCUCAGUGGUAGAGCACAUGCUUAACAAGCACCAUGUCCUGGGUUCAAUCCCCAAUACCUUCA
This 72-nucleotide transfer RNA is filed under the name Camelus bactrianus (Bactrian camel). It matches the Rfam family "tRNA". From Rfam's summary of the family: Transfer RNA (tRNA) molecules are approximately 80 nucleotides in length. Their secondary structure includes four short double-helical elements and three loops (D, anti-codon, and T loops). Further hydrogen bonds mediate the characteristic L-shaped molecular structure. tRNAs have two regions of fundamental functional importance: the anti-codon, which is responsible for specific mRNA codon recognition, and the 3' end, to which the tRNAs corresponding amino acid is attached (by aminoacyl-tRNA synthetases). tRNAs cope with the degeneracy of the genetic code in two manners: having more than one tRNA (with a specific anti-codon) for a particular amino acid; and 'wobble' base-pairing, i.e. permitting non-standard base-pairing at the 3rd anti-codon position. RNAcentral also lists the same sequence under 2 other names. The record is from Rfam by way of RNAcentral. Lineage: Eukaryota; Metazoa; Chordata; Mammalia; Artiodactyla; Camelidae.